GCUUAUGGCCAUAUCAGCCUGAGUACGCCUGAUCUCGGAAGCUAAGCAGGGUCGGGCGGGGUUAGUACUUGGAUGGGAGACCGCCUGGGAAUACCAGGUGCUGUAAGCA
Molecule: ribosomal RNA, 109 nt
Filed under: Salmo salar (Atlantic salmon)
Lineage: Eukaryota; Metazoa; Chordata; Actinopteri; Salmoniformes; Salmonidae
Source: RNAcentral